GCAAGAGGGGGGACUGUGAGCAGCUUAUUUCGCUCUCCAGAGGGGAGGAGAGGGACACCUCAUUGGGAAAUAUGGGUUUUAAACGGCGAGCUAGCCCGAUACAGAAAUGCUGAAUGGAUGGGGCCACUGCGACGUCACGCGGAGCCGCAGCCAUGCAGCGCAGAAGCAAAACGAAACAACGUUCGAGGGCGCAGCUCACACGCUCGCGCUUAUCCGCGCGAACUCUCUUCAUCCACACGUCAUUGUGAAACGAAAUCACCGCGACAAAGUCUGACGGCUAGGAGCGCGUGAUAGAGAACUGAAUCUGAGCCUGUUAGCUCCGUAUGGCUGGAAACGUUGGUCGGUCGGAGGGGUUGGCUGUUAUCUUUGGUUAUCUAGCUGUAUGAGUGAUGUACAUUCUUCAUAAAGCUAGAUAACCGAAAGUAACAAGAAUCCCAUUACACACCUGGAAAGGUCCCGCCCACUCUGCGCUCCUUGCCCCGCCCCUCACCCUCUUCCUCUUCGUGUGACAGCCGAGACACAGAAUGGACUAUGGAAGGAAGAGAAAUGACAUGGAGUAACGUCAUGGUCUCAGCAGGGCUUGGCACUUUCUGUCCUGGCGUUUAGCAGAGUGGGAAUGCCAGGGCAUUCCCCACAUCCCCUGAGCAGCAUAUGCCAUCCCCGUGCCAGGAACAUAAGCUAUCUACGUAGCUUGGCCUGGCUGCUAUGAAUAGCUGAACUGACGGAACUCACCGACCGAGGCUCAAAACGGAUGCACUGUGGGAUAGGACCCGAGGACUAAGCGUUCUUCUCUUCGGCUCCCACCCUCAGCCCCCACCACACUGUCAACCCCACGAAGAGAAGUGAAUGUACUUUAGACUGUUGGCAAAGACAAUGGGCCCACACACAAUGGGGAUUAAGUUUAGGAGCUGCAUUGACAGACCAUGGGCGCCUCUCUCUAAAAGACACCAGCAAGAGGGAAGGGAAAGGAGCCGAGGAGGAGGGGCGGGUGUGUGGUGAGGCUGCUCACCCUCUCGCUUCGCCCUGCGACGCGCUGCUGCUCUCCGCCCCUCCCCUCUCUGCCUGCCCCUACCCGCUGUCGCAAGCGGCCGUCCACGCUUUGCCACCAUCUUAGAGUUGCUGGCAUGAAAUGCAAAGAGGAGGAGGAACGAACAGGUAUCGAAAGAGUCACAUAAAGGAUUCAUAUGAACAGCAAAUCUGAACAUAGAUGACAAGGCACAUGUUUGCUGGGGAAGUUCUUUGGCUUGGCAGAGACAUCUGACCCAACAUUGAAACAGAACUGCACUUUAAAUGGUCUCUGCACUUCCUUCCUGUAUGAUGUACGUAAUCUGUUAUAGAACUCUUUAGAACUUUUUUUCUGUUGUUUUGCAAAGGUCUUUAUAAUCUAACAUUCUAAUAUUAGCUGUGCAAACUUCAUCUGUAUUAGAUGACAUGUAUGGAUAAUGAAGUAAGAAAAAUGACAAGAAAAUCUCACUCAUGUGACCAGUGCAAGAGGGCAGUCUACUGGUGCCCUAGAUAAUCCAUGACUAAUCCAUGACUACAAUCUAUGACCUGGGUUGAAAUGAAAAAUACGAAUAUUACAUGCAUUUUGUAUAUUUGCACCAACACAUUGAACUAGACCUCACAAUACUCUAAUUUGAUUCUUGUGAAUUAAAAAAAUUGUAGCGGUCAACCAUUUAAAUGUUUUUCAAAGAAAAAUAAGAAUCUAGUAUUUAAGAGAUGUAGUAUUUAAAUGUAUAUAAUCCAGAUUGAAACAAUUGACUGGUUUUAUCUGUCUAUACAGAUUAAAAUGAAAUGUUUAGUGUAGAGCACUUUACACAUUCAUGUAAUCUACUCCUCUCCUCCUUAAUUUGAUAUUAGAGGUAAAGCACAAGUGUGUCUGUUGUGAUAUAAAUUACCCCACUAGAUUUUGUGUUUAACUAUGUAUCCCUCUGUUAGACCUGAUCAUGACUGUAUACUCAAAGUGGAUAGCUAAAUGAUUUCCACAAGCUGUGUUCUCCGGUACUGAUGAUUUACAGAUAAUGGGCUGAGUGUGUGAAUGUGAGACCCACGGCAGCAGAGAAGGAUACUGCACUGUGAUUGAACAGCUCUGUGUGUUUAUAUUUACACACCCAAUGUAGAGAGAGCUGUUGUCUUUAUUUUCUAUGCAGUUGCGGUGGACUUGCAAUCAGUAAUGAGCUGUGUAGAGUCAGUCCUCAGCAGUUAAAAGCUCAAGAAUUGACUAUUUACUAAUCUUUGAGGGAGGGAAAUAUUUGAUCUGGUCUUUAGCUACUUAAAGAUACAGUAAACAUUCAGAAGAGCCCACUGUUCUUUGGUUUCUGGAUUCUGUUCACUAUGGCUGCAGCCAUUGCUAGCUGAGUAUGAGCUACGUGAUGAAAGUGAAUGACUGGUCACUACAUCGAUAGUUUAUUUUAUUAUUUCAUUGAGAAUAACAUUCAAAAAUUAAUUACAUUUUUAUGUCUAUUCUGUGAUUUCUAUUCAGAUACCUGGUUUUUUUUUUCAGUACUUAAUUUAAUAAUCAAGCUUGGGCAGAGGCAAAUAUAUAUUCUAAUUGUCUAUGCAAAUUUCUUAACAUUUUAUUUUUAUGUGAAUUGUGCAAUCAAUUUUUAAGACCUACUUUUUGUAGGUCAGUCACAGACACUGUUGUGUUUGAACCUAUUUUGAAUGCAAUCAGAAUUUAAAUGAAUCUAUAGAAUGUGCAUGUCUUUUAAUUUUAUUGUUUUAUAUAGAAGAAAUGUGUGCGCUAUGAGUCAAUGUCAUUUGCUAUGCAAUUUUUGUGAAUCAUGUGUUGUAUAAAUAUUUUUUGAGCAGACGCACCAUUUGGAAACUUGCUGCUGUGUGUUUGUGAAGUGUGGGCUAGUUUCCUGAUUAUUAAGACUAAUGGAAUUAACUCUAUCUUCUAGGCCACCGCCAUUACACCAUUUGGAAACUUGCUGCUGUGUGUUUGUGAAGUGUGGGCUAGUUUCCUGAUUAUUAAGACUAAUGGAAUUAACUCUAUCUUCUAGGCCACCGCAUAUGCCAUUUGUGCCUUUGAACUAUUUUGUCCUGCUAUGGAUAUUAAUAAAACAUUUACACUGUAAACAUCA
Electrophorus electricus (electric eel) is the source of this 3086-nucleotide long non-coding RNA. RefSeq lists it as uncharacterized. Lineage: Eukaryota; Metazoa; Chordata; Actinopteri; Gymnotiformes; Gymnotidae. The record is from RefSeq and is a predicted model, not a curated record.